Long non-coding RNA from Nymphaea colorata (pocket water lily), 559 nucleotides. RefSeq lists it as uncharacterized. Lineage: Eukaryota; Viridiplantae; Streptophyta; Magnoliopsida; Nymphaeales; Nymphaeaceae. The transcript has 2 exons. The record is from RefSeq and is a predicted model, not a curated record.
UAUUGUCAUCACAGAACAAUGCAACGUCAUUCUCUUCUCCUUCGUUUCUCUUUCUCAUCACAAAACAGCCAGCGCGGCGAUUGAAAACUGCCAUCCACAACUCCCUUGCCGUAGACAUCUUCACAGAUGUCAUCGGUCUUCUUGCAGGAGUAAUACCCAUUCUGAGGCAUCUCUCACACACACUCCUUCAUCCCACAAUUUCCUCACAACCCAGACGCAAAACUGUAAAAAAAGCCAAAAUCCGAGUGGAAAAAAUGACAAUGGAAAACGCGUAUGCUUGAUGGGGCUGAAAUGAAGAAGAAAAAUAAAGGUUCUGGUCGUUUUCCAGUUGGUAAGAAGAAAGUGAAGACAACGCUAUCAGCACUUGCAAAGGCAAAAGCUGCACAAGCAAUGGAAAUUGACAAAUGAGAUCAGUCUCAAGGAUUGGUGGCUCCAUUGUACCUCUUUCUGGUUAUAUGGGAAUUUUAUUGUCAGCUAUUCAUCUUCCCGUCACUGAGCGUCUUAGUGACGGGAAGAAGAAGGUAUUUAACUGAUAUUGUGCACUAAGUGCUUUGUUUUA